UGAGCAGAAAAAUACAGGGAGCUAAGAGGUACACGGAACGUCACAUCUGAAUUUGAGGUGAAGGGGAGGAAGGCGUUCUAGUCGGCGUAGAAGUGGGACCGGGAAGGUGCGUUGGAGCGGAUAGAAGUGAGCAUGAAGGCAUGAGUAGCGAUAGUUGAGGGGAGAAUCCUCAACGCCUAAAACCCAAGGUUUCCUACGCGAUGCUCGGCAUCGUAGGGUUAGUCGGGACCUAAGUCGAGUCCGAAAGGUGUAGACGAUGGCAAAUUGAUUAAUAUUUCAAUACCAACAUAUAAGCGCGAUGUGGGGACGCGGAGAGUUAAUCGAGGUCACUGAUGGAAUCGUGGCUCGAAGGACGUAGGCUGUUACUUAGUCAAAUCCGGGUAACGUUAGGCCGAGAUCGUACAGGCUCUUGACACUCUUCGGAGGAGAUGGAGAAUCGAUGAUAC
Molecule: ribosomal RNA, 446 nt
Filed under: Arcobacter defluvii
Lineage: Bacteria; Pseudomonadati; Campylobacterota; Epsilonproteobacteria; Campylobacterales; Arcobacteraceae
Description: partial 23S ribosomal RNA
Rfam family: Bacterial large subunit ribosomal RNA
Source: RNAcentral